Molecule: RNA transcript, 968 nt
Organism: Sarcophilus harrisii (Tasmanian devil)
Lineage: Eukaryota; Metazoa; Chordata; Mammalia; Dasyuromorphia; Dasyuridae
Exons: 6
Source: RefSeq, a predicted model, not a curated record
UUUCACAAUCAUUGAGUUGACUUAAUAUGUUAUUUGAACUUUCCCUUUCAGACAGACCACAGAACAUAGCCACACUCUGGGAUAUCUCCCCUGGUUGCCAAGAUCAAUACCACAUCAAGCCUAUGAACAAAUUUUGGAGUAUUAGGACUCACAAAUAUAUGGAAUGUAACAAAUUUCCAGCAGAGAAAAUUUUGGAAGAACUUUAUAAAAGAUAUAAUGAAGACUAUCAGACCAUGGGGCUUCAUUUUCUCACUUUUUUCAGUUUCCUUCUUCUUCCAGAUGCUCACAUUGACCUCAGCUAGAUCUUCACCUUUCUCCCUGAGCUGGACCCAGAAUGUUCCUCUCUUCUGGAAGGAUGUCUCUAUAACUGACCUUUUUCUUCUUGGAGAGAAGAUUCCUAAAGACCAAUAUGGAAUGCCUUUUUCUGUACCAUUGACAGAGUUUGAAGGUCACAUUAUCCUCAGUUGGUAUGAUGUGUUUCAGGUGAGGAAGAGAUGAUGUCAAUGGAUCCCCAGGUGGGAGAGAUUAUGAGGAACGUCAUUAGCUUCUGGAUGGUAUCACAAGUAUUUAGUACAUCUGUAUUCCUCACUGAUGAAUAUAUUAAGAAACAUGCCUUUCUAUGGAAGAUAAAUGGAAUCCUGGCAGUGACAAGCUCACUGGAAGUGGGUGUUUGUAUUUGUUAUUUGUGGACAAGACACAGUUGCUCAGGGUUUAUUUUCAAGGAAGAAUGGAUGAACUGGUUUGUUUGGAGUGUCAUGAUGAUCUUCCUCAUACUCUUAGGAAUAAUAACUUUGAAAGGUGGAUAUGGGUAUACUUUCUUUUUUAUACUGAUAUUUUCACUGGAUUUCAACAACAUUGAGAGCAUCGUCUUUGUACUUCCUACGAUACGGAUAGUUCUUUCUUUUCUUUUGUCUGAAACAUAAUUUAAUAAGAAAACUGCAGUAAAAUUCUCUUCUUCAAACUCUAAA